CAUUUUUUUCGGUUUUCAAAAGUCUAUCUUUCGAUCCAGUACUAAUUAUGAUUAACUAUGAUUUACUCUUUCUUUUCUUUUGAUUGAUUUGAUUAGAAAGUGUUCGAUAACUUUUGAGUCAAACAAGACCGUAUUAUCCACUUAGAAAAUGGUUAAUCAAAUAGAUAACCAAUGUGUUUAACUUUUAUAUUUGUAAUUGGGGGUUCCUCAAGUUUGGGAGAUUAGGAAUUCUCCCAAACAAUGAUCAUAUUCAAGAAGCCAUGGAUAAUAUAAAUAUCCAUAAUAUUCACUGGAUAUCCCGUUUUUACCAUCUCAAAUACGAGUCGAGUCGGGUAAUUUAUCUGUUUUUUGAAUUAUUCAUUCUCAGCUCGCUCAUAUUCGAUCCGAUACGCUCGUUUGGCACCCCUAUUCAAAGCUAUGACGGCGAAAUUAUUUACAUAGAUCAUCAGAAAGCUAAGGUAAUGGCAUAGGCAGUGAGUGACAAAAUCAAUCCCAAUAACUCAUCAGACUAACAGUACUCAUUUAAUGUUACAUAUACACGAAGGUGUUUUUACUGACAGUUUAUAACUUAUGUAACAUAUAUGUGACAAGCUGUUUGGAAGAAUUAGGUAUGAAUUGGCUGAAUGUGAAAAGAGAUGGGAAUAUGAUGAAUGUAAGUAGCUAAACAAAAGAGUUUCACACACAAGAGGUAACAUAAUUUGAAUGAUGGUCCCUUUUUGUGGACUCUUGUGAUGAAGACAAGGCAAUUGGAACUAAUGGGAAAAUGAAAGCUCAAAGACAUGAGAAAGAAAACCUAGAAGAUACAAACAUUGAACAUGCUCCAGCCUCCAAACUAGAAUGUUAACCAUAUAAAGAGCAGCCAAGACUCAGAAUAAUUAUUGCUCCCUGGCAUAUUGUUAGCUGCUAUAGUUUUAAAUUCCUUCACCGCCACACCUUCAGAUAUAGGAAUAUGUAUGGGGACUACUGAUUAUAGGACUCCACAAAUUGAUAAAAAUUUCCAGUAGAUCCAAUAACAUUGUAUAUUAAUGUCGGGUGCAAAUCCAAAUAAACUUUGGUAGUAAUAGGUAUAUGGAAGGAAACUGAAAAAAGAUAUACGUUAGUAAGUGAGUAUAUUUUUAGGUAUUAUCACUUCUAGCCCGUGCCAAAAACUAUUUAUAUUCAUAUGAAAAAUAGUUUCUCUAAUCAAUUUUAAAAAAUUAAAUUGGAAAGAGAAUAUGUUGUUUGUUAAUUAAUGUAGUUAAAUUAAUUUUUCAGUUAAAUAGACCUUUUGUCCUUAUCUUUUUCAUUUGAAUGUUUGAACAACUAAUGACUUCUUUGUUGAGAAGAGCUCUAGGCGAGGAAAUAAUGUAUCUUUCGGUGUGAGUUGUCUGUUAUCUUUUGUAGUUCGCAACGUAUGCACAUGACUCUUCUUCUCUUUUCUUUGUAUAUUGAAUUCUCCAGAAAAUUGUAUUCUAAUUGUAAUCUAAUUAUGGGUAGAAGAUGUUUUUAUUUACCACUGGGCAAGGUUAAUAUUAAAUUAUGCGAAAUGAUGUAGAUUUGAAGCUUUGCACUUGGUAAUCUUAUUUGACUCCAACUAUUAUCCAAAUGUAAAUAUGUAUUAUCUCGUAUAAUUCUAAGGACAAAUUUGAUCUUCUAGUUUGGGUAUUCUGAUGGUCAAAUGGUGCAAGCUUGUAACGAUCCGGUCGGUCGUUUCAUGAGUUACAACUUUAUCUCCUUUAUUUAUGCUUCCUUGUAUGUUGUUCAGCUGUAUUUCAUCAUUUCAUGUUGCUUGUGUUGUGUUCAAAGUGGCCAAGGGUGUCUCUUAUUUGGAAGCUUAAGUUGAAAAAGUCAACUGGAUGUUGACUAAUAUGUAGAAUAUCUCGGAUGUGAAUUCUGAUGGUUUGGAUAGCUUUGUUAGGUGAUUUUGGACUUGGGAGCGUGUUCGAAAUGUAACUUAAAGGUCCUUGUUAGAUUUAGGCUUGAAUUGGCGAAAUUUGAAAUUUGACUUUUUCGGUCGCAGUGAAAAUCUUGAUAUCAGGGUCGGAAUGGGAUUAAAGAAAUUGGAGUAGGUUCAAUGUGUCAUUUAUAACGUGUGUGCAAAAUUUCGGGUCACUCAGACGAUGUUUGAUAGGUUUUGGCAUCCAUUACGAAAGAAAUCCUUAGACUUGAAUAUGAGGGUGAUUUGAAGUUUUGAUAUUGCUUUGAGUGUUCCGAAGGUUGGAAUAAGUUUGAAUGAUAAUGUGUGACUUGUUGGCAUGUUUGGUUGAGAUCCCNNNNNNNNNNNNNNNNNNNNNNNNNNNNNNNNNNNNNNNNNNNNNNNNNNNNNNNNNNNNNNNNNNNNNNNNNNNNNNNNNNNNNNNNNNNNNNNNNNNNNNNNNNNNNNNNNNNNNNNNNNNNNNNNNNNNNNNNNNNNNNNNNNNNNNNNNNNNNNNNNNNNNNNNNNNNNNNNNNNNNNNNNNNNNNNNNNNNNNNNNNNNNNNNNNNNNNNNNNNNNNNNNNNNNNNNNNNNNNNNNNNNNNNNNNNNGGGCUCGGAAUGAUUUCGGAUUGUUAACAAAAGAUAGGACUUAGUUUGAGUAGCUGAAGCUGCUGCUUCAGUCAUAACCGUACCUGCAGAUUGGGAACCGCAGGUGCGAUGUCACAUAUGCAAAAUUUGGCUAUCAGAAGAGGAACCACAUGUGCGAUGUAUUGGGCGCAUCUGUGGGACCAAAGGCGCAGUGCCUGGCCGUAAAUGUGGUCCAGGGGACUUUAAGUGAAACCCGUAGGUACGGUUGAUUUGAUUGCAGAAGCGAUCCGCAGAAGCGUGAUAAGGGUCGCAUGUGCGAAAUGCCUAGGCAAAAGGUAUAAAUUAAAUCCUUCGCAAAUUUUCGCCCAUUUCCGCCAUGUUUGAAGACGGGAUUGGAGCUUUUGGAGGGUGAUGAGGGAUUCAAGAGGAAACUCAUUGAGGUAAUGUUUUUGAACCUAAAACUCGAUUCUAUGGUAAUUUUCAGUUGAUUAAGCAUGAAAUUUAUGGGAUUUAAGGGUAAAAAUUAGGUGAUUAGGGCUUGAAAUUGUAGAGGUUAAAUUGGGGAUUUGAGGGGCCAAUUGAAGUCCGAUUUUGAUGGUUUUGGUAUGAAUAAACUCGGGAGUGAAAGGAGUUUCUAGUUUUAUGAUUUUUGUUGUAUUCCAAGAUGUGGGCCCUGGUCAGGUUUGGCCAAUUUCGAAAUUUUCGAAUUAAUCUGAUAAUUUUCACAUGGGCUUUGUUCCUUUAGCGUGUGUUAAUGAUGUGAUACUGAUUUUAGUUAAAUUCGGAGCAUUUGGAGGCCGAGUCGACAGACAAGGGCAUCGCAGACUAGAGUUUUGUUCGGGUUUAGGUAAGUAAUGAUUGUAAAUCUUGUCAUGAGGGUACGAAACCCCGGAUUUCACAUCAUUUCAUUACUUUGAGGUGACGCAUAUGCUGGAUGACAAGCGCGGGGGCGUGCACCAUUGGAAAUUAUAACUUGGUCCGUCCCAUUCGACUAUUAAGUCGCAUAUUUGACUGAUAACUAUUUGAUACUAUUGUGCUUUGAAAAGUAUUACUAUGUGGGCUGAAUGUCAUAUUUGGGCCUAGCGCCAAGCUGUUUUGACCCUUAAUGGUUUUUUACUACUAUUCCUCACUGUUUUGAUUUAAUAUAUGUACUUAGUUAUGUUGUAUUUUAAUGAUUUCAUAAUUCCGCCUUAUUUACUCCAUUUUGGAUACUAUAAAUGAUAUUUUGGGCUGAGCAUCAUGUUUUACUAUUAGCCCGAGUGGCUUGAGAGAUUUCUAACUAAGUAAGGCUGAGGUCCUGUGUUGUGAGGAUAUCAUGGGAUCGGGCUGUGUGCCGCAACAUGUGAUACUAAUGUUUGAUAUAUGAGAGGCCGAGGGCCUAAUUUGUUAUGCCACGAGAUGGUUUGUUAUAGCGCUUGGGCUGUAGGAGCCCCUCCGGAGUCUGAACACCCCCAGUAAGCACGAGUACCCUGAGUGAGUGAUAUGAUGUUGCCUAAGGGGCUAAUCUUGAUUCAUGUCGUGCCCGAGGGGCUGAUUACGAGUGACUGUGAGAUAGCCCGAGAAACUGAUUCUGAUUGAUGUUAUACACGAUGGGUGGUUUAUGACACAUGUCUUGCCUGAUAGGCUCUUUAUGAUUUUCAUUAUAUUUUGCUCUAAAACUUCAUUGAAUCUUUGCUAAAACAGUUAGAAAGACAUUUUUCAAAGGAUUUUUACUGAAAUUAGAUUUUAACAAGAUGGUUUGAAUCAUAUACUGUUUUGGAAACUUACUGCACUUACUGUAGGGUUAUAACGUGGAUUAUGUAUUUUCUUACUGUUCAGUCUUUAUUUACUUUUAUUACUUACUCAGUUGGCAUAUGCACAUUAUUUCAUGCACCUUGUGUGCAGAUCCAAGAGUUGCGGAUUGUGAUAGCGAAUGAUGAUCCUUCACCCAGCGAGUCUUUCGGAGUCGUCAGGGUAGUUGUAUGGCAUUUGUAGCCUUGCUCUUCUCCCUCUUAUCUCCCUUAGACUGUUUUUAGUAUAUUUCCAUAUUGCGAUAGUCUUUGCUAUAUUCAAUCCUUAGUAGAUGUGUGUGAUUUGUGACAUCCCGAUGUCGAGCUUGUAUUAUUUUCUGCACUUGUUAUUUAGACUCAUGUCAUGGGAUUUUAUUAAUUAAUAGCUUAAAAUGUCUUCUUAUGAAAUAUUGGUUGAUUUGGGAGUGUGUUGGCUGGCCUAAUUUCACGAUAGGUGCCGUUAUAAUCAAACCGAUUUUAGGGUCGUGACAAAAUUAAUAUGAAGUUAAACUAUAUGCUAGAGUAGGACACCGAAAAUUGAAUAAUUAUAGAUAGCAAUGACACUAUAGAUAACAAUGCCACUAAUACACAAGAUUUUUGCCUAAUCUAGUACGACAACUUAAACAGUUAAGAGGUAAAUAAAUUAUUUAGUCCCAUAAAAGGCAACCAUCCUUUGCAAUAACAAGUUAAUGAAUUAAAUCUACGUUUAUGCUCCUAUAUAUCGGUGAAUGUUUAUUAUAUACCUCGUUUUAUUUAAUCUGUUAAAACAGAUCACACCAUUACAUUGACAACAGCCGACAAUUAAUAGAAAAAGAUCAAAUCCAAAUUAUAGUUUAUUUAUUAGUGUUUUCCUCUCAAGUUGAAGUCUUAGAUAUAUAAUUGUUGGCAAUGAUGUUUAAGUCAUGGAUAAUAUAUUGUUGGCAGACAAGAGAGGUUGCUCUGAUGGUAAGCAACCCUCACUUCCAACCGAGAGGUUGUGAGUUNNNNNNNNNNNNNNNNNNNNNNNNNNNNNNNNNNNNNNNNNNNNNNNNNNNNNNNNNNNNNNNNNNNNNNNNNNNNNNNNNNNNNNNNNNNNNNNNNNNNNNNNNNNNNNNNNNNNNNNNNNNNNNNNNNNNNNNNNNNNNNNNNNNNNNNNNNNNNNNNNNNNNNNNNNNNNNNNNNNNNNNNNNNNNNNNNNNNNNNNNNNNNNNNNNNNNNNNNNNNNNNNNNNNNNNNNNNNNNNNNNNNNNNNNNNNNNNNNNNNNNNNNNNNNNNNNNNNNNNNNNNNNNNNNNNNNNNNNNNNNNNNNNNNNNNNNNNNNNNNNNNNNNNNNNNNNNNNNNNNNNNNNNNNNNNNNNNNNNNNNNNNACAGUCUCUCUAUCCCAAAGUAGGGGUAAGAUCUGCGUACAUACUGGGGGCGAGAUUCUAACCUUUUACAUUACUAGCUCUAAAUUAAUAAUUCCGUACAUAAUUAAUAAAUUUAGUUAGACAAAUAUGAAAUUUAAUUAAAAGUUAUUGAGUUACGUCGAACUCAUAAAUUAUAUUCUAGUUGCGCCCAAUGCAAGAAGGUAGUUAUAACUUUGAAAUUAACGUGGUUAAUUACUUUCGCUGUUCUGGUUCAUUCUCAGUGAUUAGAUUGAAAAAGAAAGUUGGAAAAUUUUAAAGGCGGCUAUGCUAUCUUGAGGUAGCGCCUAACCACUGGAUCUUGUAAAUAUCCGUAUAGAAUAAAUCAUAGUUUAUGGGUCACGAUUCUACGAUAAUAAAUGAAAUUAAUUCGUUCCUAAGUCUAUUAGUGAUUAAUAAAUAGUAUGGUCAUUUAUUAACGACGGUAUCCGACGGUCUCUCGAUUUGGUUAGCAAGGCUACGACGUACACACCAUCACCUCUCGCGGCCAUUCAGUACCAGCUAGCAGAAUUGGUUGCUAUAUAUACUUAGAGAAAGAACCUUAGAAAAGGGGGCUGCUUCUUCUUCUUCUCCACUACUCCUAAGAAAAGGGAAAAUCCACAAUAAUACCCCGACUAAGGGCAUUGAUAACAUCAUUGUAAGGCUUUGAAUCUCUCCAUGGAAAAGCAGAUCAAAUCAACAUCAAUCAAUAAAAAGCUCCCCGCCUUUUUCAUCUUAGUAUAUAAGCUUAUUUCUUAUCCAUUUUAUUCGGUCUUUCGAUUUAUUAUAAUCUGCUAUGAUUGACCCUUGUUUUCUUCUAAUUAUUUUAUGCUUACGAAAUGUAUGUUAACUUUGAGCUAAAUACAUAGAAGGAAGCUAAAAAAAUAGAAAUAACAUAAAGAAUAUUAUAAAAAAACUGUUUGUUUGUCUAUUUGACAAGAUGGUGUCUACUAUUAUCUCAUGCAAUUAAAAUAAUUGACUAGAGAAUGUAGAGUAAAUUUUGAAUUUAAAGAUUGAAGUAGUCGACUAAGAUAAUAAAAUUGUAAGAAUUCAUCAAAAUUUUAACCAUUUAUAUUUUAUCUUUGAAAUCCACGUGUACAUGUAGAUUCCUAGCUCCCAAGUAAUAGGCCUUGUGAUCCUUAUUCUAUUUCUUAUUCCUUGCUAGGAUGUUAGAACAGUAAAUAGUGAAUUCCUCAUCCAAAAGAUACAAUCCGGCUUCCGGCCCCAUUAGUUAUCCUUGUGGCUGUGGCCAAUAUAUAUGAUCAGUUUGAACCAUUGAAAGCCAAACCAGUAGGAGAACACAGUGAAGAAACCCUUAUCAGUAAAUGAGCCAUACAAAUGUUAAAGAAAAUGCCCUUGUCUCGUGUGUCAGAAUAGCAAACCCUGAGAGUGAUUGGAUUUGGGUGCAUAUAUUGGGAGAGAUAAAGAGAAUCCAAAUUUUUAUUAUUUUUUUAAAAGAAAACAGAAAAUAAUAUUGUAGCAGAGAUAGCAUUAAAUGCAUGGCAACUCUUUCUCCCAACAGCUUCUGCAAUCUCAAUUAAUGCACCCCACACACACAUCCCUUUCUCCCUCACGCACCAGUUAAGCCUCAACUCGCUCUUUCUUCGUUGCUUAUCCAAAUUUCAUCACAUUCUUUUAUCUAUUCUUAUUAUUGGUAUAACAUUUGUUAUAUUCGAUAUUUAUUUACUCAACGAAUUCGAAUUCAUAUAUAAUAAGGUUAGUAACAUUAAAAAAAGCUCCCUACCAAAAUUUAUAUUCCCUUUAAUCCUUUCGAGUCACUCUUUUGCGACAAUUUCUGGCUCUCAUGACCAAGAUUCAUAAUAAGUUUAAACCAUGCGACAUAUCAGUACAUCAUAAUUACAGUAUAAUCUUUUGGGACGCUUGGUGCGGCUCAUGACAUAUUUCAUCUAUAAAUAUGGUAGUUCAAAAAAUCGUCUAACAUCUAAGGCUUGUUCUUAUACACCAAUCCUAUACACUCCAAUAGGCUAAGAACCUUAAGCAAUUAAUAUAUUUUUACCCCUUCCUUCUAUUUUUUCCAUCAUUAAUUGUUUCCCUCCACCACUAUUGUUACUAUACCAUGAAAAAUAUUGUAUUUCAAAUUUUUAGUCUUUUAUAUAUGGAUUAGGGCAUUGAAGUGGCAUUUUAUGUACAAUCCACCUCAUCAAAUGUCAGUGUCAUAUAGGAUUGGAUAUUUAUUUGGACAAUCUUAACAAAAUAACGGUAUAUUUAAACCAAUUGUAUUACAGAAGGAGUAUAUUUGAACCUAAAGUUUAACUAAUGGUAUAUUAGAAUUUUUUUUCUCAUAGUACAAGUAUAUAUUUAACAAUGUGCCGGAAAGAUAAUGUCAUUUCCUCAUUUUAAAUCCGAAGAUGUACUUUUGCAAUCAAAUUGAUGUGGUGAAAUAUGUGGAAUACAAUGAAACAGAUGCAUAAUUUUCGCCCCCUUUCUCUUCAUAUUUGCAUUUGAAAUGCCACCGUCCGGUUUUAGAUAUUUUGGUGUUAUUGAUAUUUUCUUUAUUUACUUUUGGAUGAAAUGAAAUAAAAAGGGGUGUGAACACUAUUGGAUUGUAAAUUGUACAAUCAAAUUAUAUUCUCAUCUCCUUCUCUAUGUCCUAUCCAAAUCAUCCAAAUUCCAAAGAGAACAUCACCACCUGUCCUCGUUCAACUUUUUAGGGUCUUGUAUGAAGGUAUAUAGCUCAUAUUUUAUUGUCUAUAUAGACCAAGCACUUCUAUUUGGCUGAUAAUAUUUAAGUAUUUAAUUUGUAAACACUAAAGUCCAAUAUUGACGAAUACUAAUUUAAUGGCGGUACUUUACAAAUACAAAAUUUACAACAAAUACGUAUCCAGCGUGAUUCUUCAAAUACAUAACUUUCGUAUUUACAAAUAUACAUGAGAUAUUAAACUUUUUAUCUAAGAAAUAUUUCAAGUGAAAUAAUAGUUUACUCACAUUUUAAAAGUAUCUUUAAGUAAAGUUUAUGUCCAAACACUAUUUUUUCUUUAAAUUUCGGCUUCAAAUAAUCUUUAUUUUUUUCAAUUUUAAUCAAAUCUUGUACAAAACAACGAAGAUUGUCCGCAGGAAUAAAGAAGACUUGUUUAAUCUAUUUGAAGAUAAUAUGCUUUACAAGGAUAACUGAACUUAUUAUUAGAAAGAUAUAUAUUACAAGUUUAACUUGCAAAAGGUAAAGAAAAAACAUUUGCAGCUGGGAUAAGAUGUGAACACCAAUAAACAGGACAAAGACAGUGGAGUUAAAGUCAAUUAAGAUAACGUACAAUACUAGAUUAGUCCCCCACCAUACCAAACAAAAGAGCCAUUAUGACUCCCCAUCAAACAAACAACUAUAAAAUGAUCAAACAAACCACAGCUGCUUAAAUUGAUAUUGCUGUCACACAAAUUGCCCAAAAUGAAAAUUCCAUAUUUUGAAAUCAUACUCACCCUUAUGCUCAUUUUACCAAUUUUCACCACAGCUUGAAACCAACACUUAGGUCCUGAGUCAAUACCCGAACCACCACCUUUGCUUUGUGUUAAGAACCAAAACUAUAACCUUAGGCUAGGUUGAACCGCUCUGGUCCAUGCCGGCCCUUACCACCUAGCAACGGUCGUUUAAGCGCGGUUCGUUCUUGACUCAGCCUCCGAUUCUGCUCGAGUUCUUGAUUUAGCCCCCUUCAACUAAACACAUCAGUACCUCUUUUUUACUAGUUAAGUUAUAUUAUGAAAUAAUAUAAAAGACAAGAACAAUAACUCAAGAACAAGACAGCACCUCUUUUUUACUAGUUUAGUUAUAUAUAUUACAGAACAAAAAGAAAAAAUUUUAAAAAAAGGGCGAUAUGCCCCAAGUCAAAUCAUCAUCACGUGAAAAGCACGUGAUCCUUCUCCCAAUUAGCUUUCACAAUGAAGGGCAGCUUUAAUCUUCUGAACAGUGCAUGAUAUAAGAUUAUUGACUGUCUCAACUGAUUCCACUGUAAGCUUGGCUGUAGGGAGGCUAUUCACCAAUAUCUGGAAAGCUACCGUCAAUAGUGACCCGCUAAUUCUUUGAUCUGGGCCCCCAUUAGAUGAUGGCCCAUUGGACCCAAAAUUUGCAGUAGUCGACCCACGAGAUCCUGGGCCGUCGGGUACGAUCGAGAAUCCCGAAGGGAGCAAAGCCACGUACGCAGAAUCACCACCAUUCAUCACCACAUGCAUUGCCGGGAUAUCAACUGGCGCGUAAACAACCAGCGCUCCUGCCGCGUCUAUGCACGUCUCCUGAAGUAUCAACAUGCUACUCUGAUUCGCGUUAAUAGCCUGUUAAACAAACCCUUAGUUAUGAAUACAUUUACGAAGAAUGCCAUUCUGCGGUAUAAUACGUCAAUUUCUGUUACAGUGUUAAAAAACCGAGUCAACUAGGGAUUAGGACUUUUCAUGUAAAAGGUGAUAUCAUGUGGUAGGGCUGACUUAAAAAAGGUAACAAGUGUCAUGUGUUUUGACUUUUUACGAAUUUACAAAAGAAACAACAAAGUUAAAAACUACAGAUCUGCAAUCAAAUGUCGUUUAGAGAUACUUCCAAAUUCCCUUAUUUGUCCUUUUCAAUUCACCUUUUUAUAUCUUAAGAAAAUGAACCCCACCCAUGCAAAUCAAUCAAUUUCUCUCAUUCAAUUAAUCAUGACCUUCUACAUGCAUUCAUCUAUUAACGCCAUGCAUUAUUAUCCUCACACCCUAUUUUUCAAUCCAUUCAAAAUUAAUAUCUUCAGUAUUAAUUUUUUUUUCUUUAAAAUGAAAAGGGUUAAAGAAAUUACACUAGCACGGAGGAGGGAGACGCAGUUGCCAUGAUCUUGGCCUUUGGCAAUAUGAGCCAUUUCUUGCAUAGGACCACCAUUGGAUAGGAUAUCCCAUUCACUCCGGAGACGUUCAUCACGGAGGAAAUCGAAGAGUCUUUGUGGGGAAACCGGCAACCAAACGGAAGUAGCAGCACUUAAAACAAUGCCCGGUGGCUCCCCCGGGUCAUCGACACUCUUUCGGGUCAUAACACGGACAUCUUCAUCCACAUUACCUGCACACAGUUUGUUCCACUUGUGUACCGUAGAAGCACAAACGCCAGCACAGAAGUUAGUGACCCGCUAAUUCUUUGAUCUGGGCUCCCAUUACAUGAUGGCCCAUUGGACGCACAAUUGGCAGUAUUAGACCCACGAGAUCCUGGGCCGUCGGGUACAAUCGAGAAUCCCGAAGGGAGCAAAGCCACGUACGCAGAAUCACCACCGUUCAUCACCACGUGCAUUGCCGGGAUAUCAACUGGCGCGUAAACAACCAGCGCUCCUGCCGCGUCUAUGCACGUCUCCUGAAGUAUCAACAUGCUGCUCUGAUUCGCGUUAAUAGCCUGGCAAUUAAGCAAACCCUUAGCAUGAAUAAAUUUACGAAAAAGGCCAUUCUGCGGUAUAAUACGUCAAUUUCUGUUACAGUGUUAAAAAACUUAGUCAACUAGGGAUUAGGACUUUUCAUGUAAAAGAUGAUAUCAUGUGGUAGGGCUGACCAAAAAAAGGUAAAAAGUGUCAUGUGUUUUGACUUUUUACAAAUUUACAAAAGAAACAACAAAGUUAAAAAAAAUACAGAUCUGCAAUCAAAUGUCGUUUAGAGAUACUUCCAAAUCCCCUUAUUUGUCCUUUUCAAUUCACCUUUUUAUAUCUUGUGAAAAUGAACCCCACCCAUGCAAAAUCAAACAAUUUCACUCAAAUACAAUCAAUCAGUCUACAUGAAUUCAUCUACUAACGCCAUGCAUUAUUAUCCUCGCACCCUAUUUUUUUAUCCAUUCAAAAUUAAUCUCUUGCAUGAUGGAAUAUUAAUUUAUUUUCUUUUAAAAAAAUAAGAGUUAAAGAAAUUACACUAGCACGGAGGAGGGAGACGCAGUUGCCAUGAUCUUGGCCUUUGGCAAUAUGAGCCAUUUCUUGCAUAGGACCACCAUUGGAUAGGAUAUCCCAUUCACUCCGGAGACGUUCAUCACGGAGGAAAUCGAAGAGUCUUUGUGGGGAAACCGGCAACCAAACGGCCGUUGGAUAGGAUAUCCCAUUCGCUCCGGAGGCGUUCGUCGCGGAGGAAAUCGAAGAGUCUUUGUGGGGAAACCGGCAACCAUACGGAAGUAGCAGCGCUUAAAACAAUGCCCGGUGGCUCACCGGGGUCAUCGACGCUCUUUCGGGUCAUAACACGGACAUCUUCGUCCACAUUACCUGCACAAAGUUUGUUCCACUUGUGUACCGUAGAAGCACAAACACCAGCACAAAAGUUGUUUGUCAUGCGUUGUGCUAACUUCAACAUGCUCCUUCUUCCACUUGGAGUUAUUGCUGCAUGUGAUUGUGUGUUUAGUCACAGAAAAUGUAAGGGACUCAUCACAUGAAAAGGGUUGAUUCAUUGAACAUUGGAGCUAGUAAUAGAUUUUAUGAAUUUGAAGUAUGCCUACCCGUGUGAUCCCUUGAAGAUACGGUGGAGGACAUGAGAAUUGCAAGGCAUUCGCACUGACGUUGGAGGGUGGCCACCCAUCUUUGUGCACCAAAGCCCAUUCCGGCACUGAUCAAUGGCCGGUAAAGAUGGUGAAUCACGCUCUCAUCAUAUUCCCCAUGUUCUACCCAUGUAACCUGCACAAUUCAAUUAUAUAUAGUCAACCUAAACUUGCUUAAAAUAGAAACCUUUUAUUCACUCAAGGGUAGAGAAAAACUCAACUAUAUUAACAUUAAUUUCAAAUUGAGACAUGCUAACCCCUGAAGACUGAUUGUCUCGGGAAAGUCCAACUUCCUUUUAUUAAUUGCAAAUUAAUUGUAACAUGAAUCAUAUUCAUCUACUGCCAAAAUUCUAAUAUAUGGUGUAAUCAGUGGCAUUAUUAUUUUUUCGCUUGGUUAAUUCAAACUAUGAAUUGAAUCUAGCAGAAAACAUCCUAACAAAAAUUUACUUGAUGAAUAACGUGACCUAACAACUUAUUGGCGAUAUUAGAAUUUUAAAACCAUAAUAUGGUCUAAAAACCUAAAAAUAUAUUCCAAAAAAGUACAUUAUGCCAUGGGAAAAUGGAAAUCGAAAAUGAAGUUUUUUUUUUAUGAUACAAGACAAAUCUUGGUAAUGGGCCUAGAAAGGUUAGGUUCAAGGAGAGACAUUAUAGAACCUAGAACCCUAAAAGUGGAAGGCAUUAAAAUACAAGUUUUCGCCAUUUUUUUGCAAAUUUGAAGGCACGAGGUAGGCUGUAGACAUUGAGAAAUGUACUACAAAGCUUUAGACCUUGUAGAUACUCACGUGACAACAAAAUAAUAGUCAGCCUUGGGGUUUGACUAAAAGGUCCUUUACUAGUAUAAAAAACAAACACAUCAUAAGGCUGGAACCAGAUAAUACACAGUUAGAUGAAUUAACUAUAGACACGGGGGACUGAUCGAGACAGCAUCAGAGAUUGGAAUAGAAACAUCAAAUAGUUUGUU
This 13035-nucleotide long non-coding RNA is filed under the name Nicotiana benthamiana. RNAcentral describes it as "long non-coding RNA (NBEN_LNC017558)". The record is from RNAcentral. Lineage: Eukaryota; Viridiplantae; Streptophyta; Magnoliopsida; Solanales; Solanaceae.